GUCCUUGUAGCACAAUGAACAGUGUGUUGUACUUCUAAUCCAAAGGUCGUGGGUUCGAAUCCCUCCUGGGAUG
This 73-nucleotide transfer RNA is filed under the name Trichonephila inaurata madagascariensis. It matches the Rfam family "tRNA". From Rfam's summary of the family: Transfer RNA (tRNA) molecules are approximately 80 nucleotides in length. Lineage: Eukaryota; Metazoa; Arthropoda; Arachnida; Araneae; Nephilidae. The record is from Rfam by way of RNAcentral.